CAGUCGCCGCGGUAAUACGAAGGGGGCUAGCGUUGCUCGGAAUGACUGGGCGUAAAGGGCGCGUAGGCGGCACAUACAGUCAGAUGUGAAAUUCCUGGGCUUAACCUGGGGGCUGCAUUUGAUACGUAUGAGCUAGAGUGGGGAAGAGGGUUGUGGAAUUCCCAGUGUAGAGGUGAAAUUCGUAGAUAUUGGGAAGAACACCGGUGGCGAAGGCGGCAACCUGGUCCUUGACUGACGCUGAGGCGCGAAAGCGUGGGGAGCAAACAGGAUUAGAUACCCCAGUAGUCCCUGUCUCUUAUAC
RNAcentral lists this ribosomal RNA (301 nucleotides) under uncultured bacterium. Its description in RNAcentral is "partial 16S ribosomal RNA". It matches the Rfam family "Bacterial small subunit ribosomal RNA", at positions 509 to 807 of the family's 1533-position model. The record is from RNAcentral.